AACGGGUAUAGGUUGAAAACUGUUCCGAUGACCUGUGGAUAGGAGUGAAAGGCUAAUCAAACUCGCAGAUAGCUGGUUCUCCCCGAAAUAGCUUUCGGGCUAGCGUCAGGUAAUUAGCGUGCGGGGGUAGAGACACUGAUUGGGAUAGGGGCCCUUCGGGGUACCCUACUCAGCCAAACUCCGAAUACCGCACGUGGUAUCCUGGCAGUCAGACUAUGGGCGAUAAGGUCCGUGGUCGAGAGGGAAACAGCCCAGACCGCCAGCUAAGGUCCCUAAUGUGUGCUAAGUGCAGAGAAGGAACUGAAGUCUCGAAGACAGCCAGGAUGUUGGCUUAGAAGCAGCCAUCAUUUAAAGAGUGCGUAACAGCUCACUGGUCGAGAGGCUUUGGGCCGAAAAUGAACGGGGCUCAAGUGCACAACCGAAGCUGCGGAUUGCAAGGAGUCGUUGGCUCCUUGCAGUGGUAGGGGAGCGUUCUGACUGGGUGAAGGGCUACGGUAACGAGGCCUGGACGGUUCAGAAGUGAUUAUGCCGGAAUGAGUAACGAUAAAGCAGGUGAGAAUCCUGCUCGCCGAAAACCUAAGGUUUCCUGGGCACGGUAAAUCCGCCCAGGGUUAGUCGGGUCCUAAGGCGAGGCCGAAAGGCGUAGUCGAUGGUCAACGGGUUAAUAUUCCCGUACUGCCAACUAGCGUUUGACCGAUGGGGUGACGCGGAAGUGAAGGUGAUCAGGCUGACAGAUGCCUGUCUAAGCCCGAGGGCGGUGUGUAGGCAAAUCCGCACACGGAAACCCGGAGGUGAAUGCGAGCGCACUAGCGCGAAGUCACUGGAUCAACCGCCUAGAAAAUCCUCUAGGGAGCUACGUUGGUAUCCGUACCAAAACUGACACAGGUAGGUGGGGUGAGAAUCCCAAGGCGCUCGAGAGAACUGCUGUUAAGGAACUCGGCAAAAUGACCCCGUAACUUCGGGAGAAGGGGUGCCCUUGAGAGUGUAGGCCUUCGCGGUCGAAGCUUUUGGGGGCCGCAGAGAAUUGGCCCAACCAACUGUUUACUAAAAACACAGGUCUAUGCUAACUCUUAACGAGGAUGUAUAUAGACUGACGCCUGCCCAAUGCCGGAAGGUUAAGGGGAGUGGUUAGCGUAAGCGAAGCUGCGAACUGAAGCCCCGGUGAAUGGCGGCCGUAACUAUGACGGUCCUAAGGUAGCGAAGUUCCUUGUCGGGUAAGUUCCGACCCGCACGAAAGGCGUAAUGAGUUGGGCACUGUCUCAACAGCAGACUCGGUGAAAUUGUAGUCGUGGUGAAGAUGCCACGUUCCCGCACCAAGACGGAAAGACCCCGUGAACCUUUACUGCAGCCUGAUAUUGGUGCUUGUUGUGUAGUGCGUAGCAUAGGUGGGAGGCGUCGAAGCGGAGCUUUCGGGUUCUGUGGAGCCAUUAGUGAAAUACCACUCUCUGCACAUUAGGUCUCUAACGCGUAUGUCUGAAUCGGCUGCGCGGACAGUUUCAGGUGGGUAGUUUGGCUGGGGCGGUCUCCUCCUAAAAGGUAACGGAGGAGCGCGAUGGUACACUCAGCGCGGUUAGCAAUCGCGCGUAGAGCGCAAGGGUAUAAGUGUGCCUGACUGCGAGAGAUAUAGCUCGAGCAGAUACGAAAGUAGGUCCUAGUGAUCCGGCGGAUUCCGAGUGGAAGGGCCGUCGCUCAUCAGAUAAAAGGUACUCCGGGGAUAACAGGCUGAUCUCCCCCAAGAGUUCAUAUCGACGGGGAGGUUUGGCACCUCGAUGUCGGCUCAUCGCAUCCUGGGGCUGAAGGCGGUCCCAAGGGUUUGGCUGUUCGCCAAUUAAAGCGGUACGUGAGCUGGGUUUAGACCGUCGUGAGACAGGUCGGUCCCUAUCUGGUGUGGGUGUAGGAUGAUUGAGGAGGUUUUCCCCUAGUACGAGAGGAUUGGGGAGGACGAACCGCUGGUGCUCCAGUUAUCACGCUAGUGGUACAGCUGGGUAGCUAAGUUCGGAACGGAUAAGCGCUGAAUGCAUCUAAGCGCGAAGCCUUCUCCAAGACGAGUCAUCCCUUAGAGUCCCCUGGGAGACUACCAGGUUGAUAGGCAGGCGGUGUAAGCACAGCAAUGUGUUCAGCUUACCUGUACUAAUCGGACCAUCGGCUUAAACAC
Molecule: ribosomal RNA, 2155 nt
Filed under: bacterium
Lineage: Bacteria
Description: partial 23S ribosomal RNA
Rfam family: Bacterial large subunit ribosomal RNA
Source: RNAcentral